Lagenorhynchus albirostris (white-beaked dolphin) is the source of this 474-nucleotide long non-coding RNA. RefSeq lists it as uncharacterized. The record is from RefSeq and is a predicted model, not a curated record. The transcript has 2 exons. NCBI's taxonomy places the organism in Eukaryota, Metazoa, Chordata, Mammalia, Artiodactyla, Delphinidae.
UGUGGGAUCCUCCCGGACCGGGGCACGAACCCGCGUUCCCUGCAUCGGCAGGCGGACUCUCAACCACUGCGCCACCAGGGAAGCCCUCUUGGAGGGGUUUUAGAUGCUCUCUGCCACACACAAUUCCAAGAAGACCAGAGGAAGGAGGAAAGUCCUAGAUGUGAUGGUCAGCCCUGCUCUGGUUCUGAGGACGACAGUCCAGCUGCGGCAGUUUGACCGUCCCUCCCACGCAAACCCAUCCCUUAUUGUCUGUACCCUCGAUAAUGUCUCCCUCUCCUAGGACAACCACUGCUUGGAGGUUCUGGCUGAGGAUCCUGGGAAAAGAGACUUGUAGUGAUGAUGUGGAGAUCUGAGACUUCAGGCAGAAAAUGGCAAGUUUCUGGGCUUUCAGAAAUUUUAAAACUUCAGGAACUAAAAAUUGUUGGCGGUUCUUCAUCUUAUUUCAUCUCUAUAAAAUUCUAAACGUGGAAAGAA